UAACUACAUCAGCAUUUUGCUAUUCUACUACACAUGUAUUUAUUUCAGCUGACAACAGUCUCCCUGUCCAGAUUUGUAGGGAUGCAAUAUAUUAGAAAACUCUUUCAGAGUUCAAAUUUGGGCUUCAAUUCAGCAACUAACACCAACCUAGCACAUCCCUUAAACAUCCCUAGCACAUUCACUGUUCUGAGAAGUACUUGCUAUAACUAGAAACCCUGAAGCAACAGAAUAACCAUGUCUGGAUAAUUCCAAGCUUACACACAGCUCCCAGUGGAGUAGUGCAGAUACGGCAGCAAGAGAAAUGUUUGCAUGUUCUGCCAGAUUACACCUACACCAUGCCAACAGUGGACGGACCCCCCAGCACCACUUCUAUCUGCAUGGCAUCUGUAAGGCCAAUCGCUGGACACAACAUUUCUAUUUACAUCAACGUAAAUACCUCCCUUCAAAAACAAAUCUAGUAUUUACUACCCUUACUUCACCUAGAACCUCUUCUCAUGUUGAGAAAAGGGAUCUGCUGGUUCAUCAAGUCCAUCAUGGUGCUCUAUGCGGGUUUAUAACUGCUUUCCUAAUGCAGUCCUGUUCUACCUUUAAACAAACUAAUAAACAUUUUGGCACUCUAGAAUAUAAACUUGUAAAUUUUCCUCAAGAGGACUGGAAACAGAGUUGCACGGGUGGUUUAAGAGAAUUGAAGCUGAUUACAUUGAACAGUUUUUCACACAAAUGGGAAUUUACCUAGAUCUAACUAACACCAUCAUUUGCUCAUUUUUCAAGAUGAUUCAUCUAAUUCACCCCAAACUUGCCAACAGAAAGCAGCUGAACUAAAAAACCAACCAGCCCUCAAUCUUAUGGGAAAUGUACUUAGUUUCUGAAAACGUUUCCUAAAACACCUCCUAUUUCCUUCCUCAAUAUUGGUAAAAACUGAUUGUAAAAAAGUUUUCUGGAUGCAUCAGCUUGUCAAUUAUAACAACUUCUAAAACUCUGAAGGGCUAUCUUCAUCUCUUUUAGGAUAUUUGCUUAGAAAUUAAUUACUGAGAUGAAAACUUUUUAGGUGCAUUCAUAAGGAUAUGAAUAAUAUUGUUUAAAAGGGUUUAUUUUAACCUAAAGGGAGCCUAUUAACAGAAGGGAAGUAAACUCUUUACGAAGGUAGAUAACAGCAGGACAAGGGAAAAUGAUUUUAAGUUGAAGGAGGGAAGAUUUAGGUUGGAUGUCAGGGGGAAGUUCUUUACUGUGAGAGUGGUGAGGUGCUGGAACAGCUGCCCAGAGAGGCUGUGGAUGCCCCAUCCUUGGAGGUGUUCAAGGCCAGGUUGGAUGGGGCCCUGGGCAGCCUGGUCUAGUAUUAAAUGUGGAGAUUGGUGGCCCUGCCUGUGGGGGGAUGGUUGGAGCUUCGUGAUCCUUGAGGUCCCUUCCAACUCAGGCCAUUCUAUGAUUCCAUGAUUUUUUGUCACCUAUAGGAUCCUUUACUUCAAAGGGGACAAAAGGAAGAAGAAAUGAGAGCAACCGAACAUGGCCUUCAUGUGGAUCAGCUCCUAGUAACAGAAGCAAUGUGGGAUUGCUGAACUGUCAGUGGCCUAAGCAACAACACUAGCUCAUAGAAAAACUCUUGAGUCGUAUAGUGGAAAAUAAAUACAAAAACUGCUAAGAUGCUGUCAAUGAGCAGGAGCAGAGCUUUUGUUUAGACAGAGAAGGGAACUGCAGAGAAAACCAGCUUUUUUAACCUGAAUAUGCAGCGCUUCUUGCACAUGGAGAGGGGAAGCAGAGACUGGGAACAAGUCUGAAGUGGAGCCACACAAUGCCUGGUGUCAAAGCAAGAAGUGGGGUGGAUCUCCGCAAAAAGCGAGACCUGAGUUGAUGACAGAGCCUCUGACAAGAAAGGUAGCAAAGAAAUCACAGAAAUAUUCAGAGAAACUUCUAGCUUGCACAAAUUCACAGGAAAGAUCAACUGUCCAUUGGCAAAAGUAUAUAUAAUUAUGGCACUAAAAUGAAGUUGUUUUAAUCUUCACAAUAAUUAUCAACAUGUACAGCAGCUACUAUAAGAAAAAUAAUUGCUAACAUAAGAAAG
This 2059-nucleotide long non-coding RNA is filed under the name Gallus gallus (chicken). RNAcentral's name for it is "lncRNA (ENSGALG00010011279.1)". Lineage: Eukaryota; Metazoa; Chordata; Aves; Galliformes; Phasianidae. The record is from RNAcentral.